GAUGAACGCUGGCGGCGUGCCUAAUACAUGCAAGUCGAGCGAACAGACGAGGAGCUUGCUCCUCUGACGUUAGCGGCGGACGGGUGAGUAACACGUGGAUAACCUACCUAUAAGACUGGGAUAACUUCGGGAAACCGGAGCUAAUACCGGAUAAUAUAUUGAACCGCAUGGUUCAAUAGUGAAAGACGGUUUUGCUGUCACUUAUAGAUGGAUCCGCGCCGCAUUAGCUAGUUGGUAAGGUAACGGCUUACCAAGGCAACGAUGCGUAGCCGACCUGAGAGGGUGAUCGGCCACACUGGAACUGGGACACGGUCCAGACUCCUACGGGAGGCAGCAGUAGGGAAUCUUCCGCAAUGGGCGAAAGCCCGACGGAGCAACGCCGCGUGAGUGAUGAAGGUCUUCGGAUCGUAAAACUCUGUUAUUAGGGAAGAACAAAUGUGUAAGUAACUAUGCACGUCUUGACGGUACCUAAUCAGAAAGCCACGGCUAACUACGUG
RNAcentral lists this ribosomal RNA (497 nucleotides) under uncultured bacterium. Its description in RNAcentral is "partial 16S ribosomal RNA". It matches the Rfam family "Bacterial small subunit ribosomal RNA", at positions 28 to 507 of the family's 1533-position model. The record is from RNAcentral.